GAUGAACGCUAGCGGCAGGCUUAAUACAUGCAAGUCGUGGGGCAGCAGGACUGUAGCCAUACAGUUGCUGGCGACCGGCAAACGGGUGCGGAACACGUACGCAGCUUACCCUGAACUGGGGGAUAGCCCGGGGAAACCCGGAUUAAACCCCGUAAUAUAAUGGAGUGGCAUCACUUUAUUAUUAAAGCUCCGGCGGUUCGGGAUGGGCGUGCGGCUGAUUAGGUAGUUGGUUGAGGUAACGGCUCACCAAGCCUACGAUCAGUAACUGGCGUGAGAGCACGACCAGUCACACGGGCACUGAGGCCCGGACCCGACUCGUACGGGGGGCAGCAGUAUGGAAUAUUGGGCAAUGGAGGCUAAUCCGGCCCAGCCAUGCCGGGUGGGGGAGGAAGGCCCUCGGGGUUGUAAACUUCUUUUAUAGGGGACGAAACCUGUGAAUUCUUACGCAGUUGACGGUACCCAAGGAAUAAGCACCGGCUAACUCCGUG
Molecule: ribosomal RNA, 488 nt
Filed under: uncultured bacterium
Lineage: Bacteria
Description: partial 16S ribosomal RNA
Rfam family: Bacterial small subunit ribosomal RNA
Source: RNAcentral